GCGAGGGUGGCGGAACUGGUAGACGCGCACGGUUCAGGUCCGUGUGGCUGCAAAGCCGUGGGGGUUCAAGUCCCUUUCCUCGCACAA
RNAcentral lists this transfer RNA (87 nucleotides) under Myxococcales bacterium FL481. Its description in RNAcentral is "tRNA-Leu". It matches the Rfam family "tRNA". Rfam says of the family: Transfer RNA (tRNA) molecules are approximately 80 nucleotides in length. Their secondary structure includes four short double-helical elements and three loops (D, anti-codon, and T loops). The record is from RNAcentral. Lineage: Bacteria; Pseudomonadati; Myxococcota; Myxococcia; Myxococcales.